RNAcentral lists this ribosomal RNA (324 nucleotides) under Triticum aestivum (bread wheat). RNAcentral describes it as "partial small subunit ribosomal RNA". The record is from RNAcentral. Lineage: Eukaryota; Viridiplantae; Streptophyta; Magnoliopsida; Poales; Poaceae.
AUGAGAAAGCUCUUUGAUCUAAACAAAGGCUACAGAUGGUACUUUCAGCAUUUUGAAAUAUUCCGGAGGAUAUAUGAAGCCUAUCCUAGCCAAUCGAUUCUCCAUAGUAAUUCACACUUACUUUCAAGGCUAUUUUCAAAUUGCUUUUCAGAUGGGAAGUGCAAAGCCCACACUUUGCUCUUCAUAAUAAUCUCUCUGACAAUGUGUUCUUCUUUGUUGCGUGCAGAGCAUGGGACCGCGUCCAUGGCAUCAUAUGUCACAGGACAACAAACGGCACAAGAGAUCAUACGAGCAGACAUUCCCUAUGGCAUCUCAAGAGACUAG